This 421-nucleotide ribosomal RNA is filed under the name Fusobacteriota bacterium. RNAcentral's name for it is "Fusobacteria bacterium partial 16S ribosomal RNA". It matches the Rfam family "Bacterial small subunit ribosomal RNA", at positions 355 to 776 of the family's 1533-position model. Lineage: Bacteria; Fusobacteriati; Fusobacteriota. The record is from RNAcentral.
UGGGGAAUAUUGCACAAUGGACGGAAGUUUGAUGCAGCGACGCCGCGUGGAGGGUGUAGGCCUUCGGGUUGUGAACUCCUUUUUCUCGCGAAAAAGGCACAGUUUUGGCUGUGUUGAUGGUAGUGGGGGAAGAAGCGCCGGCUAACUACGUGCCAGCAGCCGCGGUAAUACGUAGGGCGCGAGCGUUGUCCGGAUUUAUUGGGCGUAAAGAGCUCGUAGGUGGUUCGUCGCGUCUGUCGUGAAAGCCAGCAGCUUAACUGUUGGUCUGCGGUGGGUACGGGCGGGCUUGAGUGCGGUAGGGGUGACUGGAAUUCCUGGUGUAGCGGUGGAAUGCGCAGAUAUCAGGAGGAACACCGAUGGCGAAGGCAGGUCACUGGGCCGUUACCGACACUGAGGAGCGAAAGCGUGGGGAGCGAACAGG